ACUCCUACGGGAGGCAGCAGUGGGGAAUAUUGCACAAUGGGGGAAACCCUGAUGCAGCCAUGCCGCGUGUGUGAAGAAGGCCUUCGGGUUGUAAAGCACUUUCAGUAGGGAGGAAGGUAGUGUAGUUAACACCUGCACUAUUUGACGUUACCUACAGAAGAAGCACCGGCUAACUCCGUGCCAGCAGCCGCGGUAAUACGGAGGGUGCGAGCGUUAAUCGGAAUUACUGGGCGUAAAGCGCAUGCAGGCGGCCUGUUAAGUCAGAUGUGAAAGCCCGGGGCUUAACCUCGGAAUUGCAUUUGAAACUGGCAGGCUAGAGUCUUGUAGAGGGGGGUAGAAUUUCAGGUGUAGCGGUGAAAUGCGUAGAGAUCUGAAGGAAUACCAGUGGCGAAGGCGGCCCCCUGGACAAAGACUGACGCUCAGAUGCGAAAGCGUGGGGAGCAAACAGGAUUAGAUACCCUGGUAGGAUAGAG
RNAcentral lists this ribosomal RNA (473 nucleotides) under uncultured bacterium. Its description in RNAcentral is "bacterial SSU rRNA". It matches the Rfam family "Bacterial small subunit ribosomal RNA", at positions 335 to 799 of the family's 1533-position model. The record is from RNAcentral.